RNAcentral lists this unclassified non-coding RNA (345 nucleotides) under soil metagenome. Its description in RNAcentral is "partial contains 5.8S ribosomal RNA, internal transcribed spacer 2, and large subunit ribosomal RNA". The stretch from base 1 to 120 matches the Rfam family "5.8S ribosomal RNA", at positions 35 to 154 of the family's 154-position model. The record is from RNAcentral.
GAUGAAGAACGCAGCGAAAUGCGAUACGUAAUGUGAAUUGCAGAAUUCAGUGAAUCAUCGAGUCUUUGAACGCACAUUGCGCCCCCUGGUAUUCCGGGGGGCAUGCCUGUCCGAGCGUCAUUGCUGCCCUCAAGCACGGCUUGUGUGUUGGGCCUCCGUCCUCCUCCCGGGGGACGGGCCCGAAAGGCAGCGACGGCACCGCGUCCGGUCCUCGAGCGUAUGGGGCUUCGUCACCCGCUCUUGUAGGCCCGGCCGGCGCUUGCCGACACAUCAAUCUUUUUUCCAGGUUGACCUCGGAUCAGGUAGGGAUACCCGCUGAACUUAAGCAUAUCAAUAAGCGGAGGA